RNAcentral lists this ribosomal RNA (478 nucleotides) under uncultured bacterium. RNAcentral describes it as "partial 16S ribosomal RNA". It matches the Rfam family "Bacterial small subunit ribosomal RNA", at positions 28 to 523 of the family's 1533-position model. The record is from RNAcentral.
GACGAACGCUGGCGGCGUGCUUAACACAUGCAAGUCGAACGGUAAGGCCCUUCGGGGUACACGAGUGGCGAACGGGUGAGUAACACGUGGGUGAUCUGCCCUGCACUUCGGGAUAAGCCUGGGAAACUGGGUCUAAUACCGGAUAGGACCACUGCCUGCAUGGGUGGUGGGGGAAAGCUUUUGCGGUGUGGGAUGGGCCCGCGGACUAUCAGCCUGUUGGUGGGGUGAUGGCCUACCAAGGCGACGACGGGUAGCCGGCCUGAGAGGGUGACCGGCCACACUGGGACUGAGAUACGGCCCAGACUCCUACGGGAGGCAGCAGUGGGGAAUAUUGCACAAUGGGCGCAAGCCUGAUGCAGCGACGCCGCGUGAGGGAUGACGGCCUUCGGGUUGUAAACCUCUUUCAGCACCGACGAAGCGCAAGUGACGGUAGGUGCAGAAGAAGGACCGGCCAACUACGUGCCAGCCGCCGCGGUAA